Molecule: ribosomal RNA, 443 nt
Filed under: uncultured bacterium
Lineage: Bacteria
Description: partial 16S ribosomal RNA
Rfam family: Bacterial small subunit ribosomal RNA
Source: RNAcentral
CCUACGGGUGGCAGCAGUGGGGAAUAUUGGGCAAUGGGCGCAAGCCUGACCCAGCAACGCCGCGUGAAGGAAGAAGGCUUUCGGGUUGUAAACUUCUUUUCUCAGGGACGAAGCAAGUGACGGUACCUGAGGAAUAAGCUACCGCUAACUUCGUGCCAGCAGCCGCGGUACUACGUGGGUGGCAAGCGUUAUCCGGAUGUACUGGGUGUAAAGGGCGGGUAGGCGGGACUGCAAGUCAGAUGUGAAAACCAUGGGCUCAACCUAUGGCCUGCAUUUGAAACUGUAGUGCUUGAGUACUGGAGAGGCAGGCGGAAUUCCUAGUGUAGCGGUGAAAUGCGUAGAUAUUAGGAGGAACACCAGUGGCGAAGGCGGCUCUCUGGACUGUAACUGACACUGAGGCACGAAAGCGUGGGGAGCAAACAGGAUUAGAUACCCCAGUAGUC